Molecule: ribosomal RNA, 1982 nt
Filed under: activated sludge metagenome
Description: bacterial LSU rRNA
Rfam family: Bacterial large subunit ribosomal RNA
Source: RNAcentral
UCAAGCUACUAAGGGUACAUGGUGGAUGCCUAGGCGUCGAGAGGCGAUGAAGGACGUGGUAGGCUGCGAUAAGCCCCGGGGAGCUGUCAAACGAGCAUUGAUCCGGGGAUGUCCGAAUGGGGAAACCCGGCAUCACUCCGCAAGGAGAUGAUGUCACGGCGGGCUGAAUGCAUAGGCCCGUACGAGCUAACCCAGGGAACUGAAACAUCUCAGUACCUGGAGGAAAGGAAAUCAACCGAGACUCCGUCAGUAGCGGCGAGCGAAAGCGGACCUAGCCCAAACCGGUCUUCGGACCGGGGUUGCGGGAACCGAGAGCGGUUACAAAAGUCUUGCCAACCGAAGUACCUGGAAAGGUGCACCACAGAAGGUGACAGUCCUGUAGGUGACGGCAACGACUCCGCGUUACCAUCGGUUUACCAGAGUAGCACGGUGCUCGUGGAACUCCGUGUGAAGCUGGGGGGCCCACCCUCCAAGGCUAAGUACUCCUCGACGACCGAUAGUGAACAAGUAAGGUGACUGAAAGGUGAAAAGAACCCCUACUAGGGGAGUUAAAAGAACCUGAAACCAUGUACUUACAAGCGGUGGGAGCCCGAUGGUGGUCUUCGGAUCACCCGGGUGACCGCGUACCUUUUGCAUAAUGGACCGGCGAGUUACCUUCAGCGGCAGGUUAAGCACUUCCGGUGCGGAGCCGAAGCGAAAGCGAGUCUGAAUAGGGCGUUAAGUCGUUGGAGGUAGACCCGAAACCAGGUGAUCUACCCAUGGCCAGGUUGAAGUGCCCGUAAAAGGGCGCGGAGGACCGAACUCGUGAACGUUGAAAAGUUCUGAGAUGAGCUGUGGGGAGGAGUAAAAGUCUAAUCAAACCUGGAGAUAUCUGGUUCUCCUCGAAAUGCCUUUAGGGGCAGCCUCGAGCCACUACGCUGUGGGGGUAGAGCUACUGAAUGAAACGCGGGGGCCACCAGCCUGCCGCCUUCAAUCAAACUCCGAAUACCACAGCGACUAUCUCGGGAGUGAGUCUGCGGGUUCAAUAUCCAUAGACAAAAGGGAAAAAACCCAGAUCGCCUGCUAAGGCCCCCAAUUCAUGCUCAGUGCAUAAGGAAGUCUAGUUUCUGAGACAGCGGGGAUGUUGGCUUAGAAGCAGCCACCAUUUAAAAAGUGCGUAACAGCUUACCCGUCGAGAGACUGGGCGCCGAUAAUGAACGGGACUAAGCAUGAAGCCGAAGCAGCGGGCUUGCGUAGCCUACGGGCGAAACAAGCGGUAGAGGAGCGUUGAUAGGCAGAUACAGGCCAUACCGUAAGGAGUGGUUGCGGGCCUAUCAAGUGAGAAUGCCGGUAUGAGUAACGAGAAAGCGGGUGUAAAUCCCGCUCGCCGAAAGCCUAAGGUUUCCUGGGGAAGGUCAAUCCGCCCAGGGUUAGCCGGAUCCUAAGGCGAGGCCGAAAGGCGUAGUCGAUGGACAGCAGGUUAAUAUUCCUGCGCCGUGUCAUGCGGUUGAACUGUACGUGCGUUUUUCCAAGCUGCAGCCCACCAUUAGACGUGAGGGUUCCCGAAAGGGCGAGGCCGAUUCGUUGCUGAAGUGCGGGGAGGAAGAACCGAGAAAAGCGUGCAGGGACAAGUGGCACGUCCGUACUAAAACUGACACAGGUAGGCGAGGCGAGUAGCCUCAGGCGCUCGAGAGAACGGUCCUUAAGGAACUAGGCAAAUUUGCCCCGUAACUUCGGGAUAAGGGGUCCCUCCUCCGUUUGGCAACACUCGGAGAGGGCACAGCAAAGCGGCUCUGGCGACUGUUUAUCAAAAACACAGGUCUCUGCUAAGUCGAACAGACAACGUAUAGAGACUGACGCCUGCUCGGUGCCGGAAUGUUAAGGAAGCAGGUUAGCCGCAAGGCGAAGCUUGCGACCGAAGCACCGGUAAACGGCGGCCCUAACUAUGAGGGUCCUAAGGUAGCGAAAUUCCUUGUCGGGUAAGUUCCGACGCGCAUGAAUGG